UACGGAGGGGGCAAGCGUUAUUCGGAAUUAUUGGGCGUAAAGGGCGCGUAGGCGGCUGGACAAGUCAAAGGUGAAAUCCCUCGGCUCAACUGAGGAACUGCCUUUGAAACUGUCCGGCUUGAGGCCGGGAGGGGGUAGCGGAAUUCCCAGUGUAGCGGUGAAAUGCGUAGAUAUUGGGAGGAACACCAGUGGCGAAGGCGGCUACCUGGACCGGUUCUGACGCUGAUGCGCGAAAGCGUGGGUAGCAAACAGG
RNAcentral lists this ribosomal RNA (253 nucleotides) under uncultured bacterium. Its description in RNAcentral is "partial 16S ribosomal RNA". It matches the Rfam family "Bacterial small subunit ribosomal RNA", at positions 524 to 776 of the family's 1533-position model. The record is from RNAcentral.